GCUGUCAGCCGGGGCGUGGGAGAAGGGAGAUUCCAGCUGAUCGGUGGUGGUCCUUUGGAGGCCUCCGGAGUCCCUGGCGAUUCCCGGCCUUCUAUCAGCUUUUGCACCCUGGGGAGAACCAGAGUACCAGUUUCUUCGUUGGUUGGCCCCAAUCGUACCAGUGUCCAUAAGUAACCUUUAGUCUUCAAGAACAACCCCAGUUUUAAAUAUAUAUAUCUUUAUGGAUCUCAGAGAGAGGAAGGAAGAGGGAGAGAGCUGGAAACAUCAACGGUGAGAGAGUCAUUGAUCCACUAACUCCUGCACACCCCCUGCUGGGGAUGGGGCAGCAAGCCCCAAGGUGCUCUGACCUCUGACCAGGAACCUAACCAGCAGCCUCCUGGAUCAUAGGUCCACGCUCAACCCCUGAGCUGGCAGGGCAUCCAAUUUUAAAGAGUCUGACCUGUCCCCUCUAAAGUACAAAUGCUGUUGUCUGACAUUGUGCUCCACUUCUAGGUUUGGAAACUAUGACCCCCAAAGCCAAAGGUGGCUGAUUCGGUUUGGAGGGUGCAGAGGGAGGAAGGAAGUAAUGAUGCCUCUCACAGCACCAGGGCCCAGGGCCCAGGGCAUCAGUGGGACAGAGGCAGCAUGGCUGUCCUCUGAGACGCCAGGAGUGAGCUUGCCAUUCACCAUCUACGUCCCUGUUCCUUCACCCUUAGGCUGGAGAUAAUAAUGUCUGCCCUGCCCUGCCCUGCCCUGCCCUGCCCUGCCCUGCCCUGCCCUGGGAGCCUGCUGGAUGAUCUUGUGAGAGGUGGCUGUAAAAGACAGGCCUUUGGUGGAAGCAGUCAUCCAAACCCCAUCAUCAGUACAGCAUGACCCGUGCUGAAGUCAGAACUAGAAGGGGCUGUGAAACCCAAGCCCUCCAGAGCAGUGUGGAAGGCGAGAUUGCUGAAGACGUCAUGGAAAAGUCGGAGCUUGAACUGGGCCCUAAGUCAGACAGAGAUUUGCAGAUAUGAGGCAAGGCCAUUCCUGGCUGUAAGCACUGAGGGACUGCGGAAGCAACAGCAGGGCGGCGUGAACGUGGCUAUGUGACUGGAUACAGGGUCUGUCCAGCAGCUACAUCCCCACCCCAAUCAGCAAGGACUGAGUAAGGAACCUGGACUUCCUCUGACACCUGGCCCUACAGAGGCCCCAGAGUGCUUCCUGUCCCUUCCUGGAGUGGGAUCCAAGAAGACAACGAGGACCCCAGAUUCUCAUCGCUGCCUAUCAGUAAAAAGCCUCACACCACAGGGCUCUUUUUUUAGAACUGAAAAAUAUCAUGACAAAAAUUAAAAGUGCCUGCCCUGGCCGGUGUGGCUCAGU
Miniopterus natalensis is the source of this 1338-nucleotide long non-coding RNA. RefSeq lists it as uncharacterized. NCBI's taxonomy places the organism in Eukaryota, Metazoa, Chordata, Mammalia, Chiroptera, Miniopteridae. The record is from RefSeq and is a predicted model, not a curated record.